AGAAUCAACGCUGGCGGCGUGCCUAACACAUGCAAGUCGAACGAGAAAGUGGAGCAAUCCAUGAGUAAAGUGGCGACCGGGUGAGUAACACGUGACUAACCUACCUUUUAGUGGGGGAUAACCUCGGGAAACCGAGGCUAAUACCGCAUAACAUCGCAAGAUCAAAGCAGCAAUGCGCUGGAAGAGGGGGUCGCGGCUGAUUAGCUAGUUGGCGGGUAACGCCCACCAAGGCGAAGAUCGGUA
RNAcentral lists this ribosomal RNA (243 nucleotides) under uncultured bacterium. RNAcentral's name for it is "partial small subunit ribosomal RNA". It matches the Rfam family "Bacterial small subunit ribosomal RNA", at positions 26 to 285 of the family's 1533-position model. The record is from RNAcentral.